UACAGAGGGUGCAAGCGUUAAUCGGAAUUACUGGGCGUAAAGCGUGCGCAGACGGUUGCAUAAGUCAGAUGUGAAAGCCCCGGGCUCAACCUGGGAAUUGCAUUCGAGACUGCGUAGCUAGGGUGCGGAAGAGGGAAGCGGAAUUUCCGGUGUAGCGGUGAAAUGCGUAGAUAUCGGAAGGAACACCAGUGGCGAAAGCGGCUUCCUGGUCCAGCACCGACGUUCAGGCACGAAAGCGUGGGGAGCAAACAGG
Molecule: ribosomal RNA, 253 nt
Filed under: uncultured bacterium
Lineage: Bacteria
Description: partial 16S ribosomal RNA
Rfam family: Bacterial small subunit ribosomal RNA
Source: RNAcentral